Molecule: small nucleolar RNA, 156 nt
Organism: Drosophila kikkawai
Lineage: Eukaryota; Metazoa; Arthropoda; Insecta; Diptera; Drosophilidae
Source: RefSeq, a predicted model, not a curated record
AUUUAAUCCGUCCAAAACUAAAACUGCAGCGUUGAUAACUAACAGCGUUGUGGUAUUCAAUUGGACCACAUUGAAACCCAUGUUUAACUAUUCCUCUUAAGGGCAUUGUCUCAAAGAUGCUAACCUUAAUAAAGUACAAAACAACAUUACUAUAAC